UACGUAGGGUGCAAGCGUUGUCCGGAAUUAUUGGGCGUAAAGAGCUCGUAGGCGGUUUGUCGCGUCGGAUGUGAAAAUCCAGGGCUCAACCCUGGACCUGCAUUCGAUACGGGCAGACUAGAGUUCGGUAGGGGAGACUGGAAUUCCUGGUGUAGCGGUGAAAUGCGCAGAUAUCAGGAGGAACACCGGUGGCGAAGGCGGGUCUCUGGGCCGAAACUGACGCUGAGGAGCGAAAGCGUGGGGAGCAAACAGG
RNAcentral lists this ribosomal RNA (253 nucleotides) under uncultured bacterium. Its description in RNAcentral is "partial 16S ribosomal RNA". It matches the Rfam family "Bacterial small subunit ribosomal RNA", at positions 524 to 776 of the family's 1533-position model. The record is from RNAcentral.